GUGCUCGUUCAGCAGCACAUAUACUAAAAUUGUAACGAUACAGAUUAGCAUCCUGCACAAGGAAGAUAUGCAAAUCCAUGAAGCAUUCUGUAUUUUU
RNAcentral lists this small nuclear RNA (97 nucleotides) under Colobus angolensis palliatus. Lineage: Eukaryota; Metazoa; Chordata; Mammalia; Primates; Cercopithecidae. The record is from RNAcentral.